Molecule: ribosomal RNA, 595 nt
Filed under: uncultured bacterium
Lineage: Bacteria
Description: bacterial SSU rRNA
Rfam family: Bacterial small subunit ribosomal RNA
Source: RNAcentral
UUGGUGAGGUAACGGCUCACCAAGGCAACGAUGGAUAGGGGAACUGAGAGGUUUAUCCCCCACACUGGUACUGAGACACGGACCAGACUCCUACGGGAGGCAGCAGUGAGGAAUAUUGGUCAAUGGAGGCAACUCUGAACCAGCCACGUCGCGUGAAGGAUGACGGCCCUACGGGUUGUAAACUUCUUUUGUAAGGGAAUAAAGUUAGUUACGUGUAACUAUUUGCAUGUACCUUACGAAUAAGGAUCGGCUAACUCCGUGCCAGCAGCCGCGGUAAUACGGAGGAUCCAAGCGUUAUCCGGAUUUAUUGGGUUUAAAGGGUGCGUAGGCGGAAGAUUAAGUCGGUGGUGAAAUUUUGCAGCUCAACUGUAAAAGUGCCAUUGAUACUGGUUUUCUUGAGUAUGGAUGAAGUAGGCGGAAUUUGUGGUGUAGCGGUGAAAUGCAUAGAUAUCACGAGGAACUCCAAUUGCGCAGGCAGCUUACUAAACCAUAACUGACGCUCAGGCACGAAGGCGUGGGGAUCAAACAGGAUUAGAUACCCUGGUAGUCCACGCAGUAAACUAUGAUUACUCGCUGUUUGCGAUACACAGCAAGC